UCCAGACUCCUACGGGAGGCAGCAGUGGGGGAUAUUGCACAAUGGGGGAAACCCUGAUGCAGCGACGCCGCGUGAGUGAAGAAGUAUUUCGGUAUGUAAAGCUCUAUCAGCAGGGAAGAAAAUGACGGUACCUGACUAAGAAGCCCCGGCUAACUACGUGCCAGCAGCCGCGGUAAUACGUAGGGGGCAAGCGUUAUCCGGAUUUACUGGGUGUAAAGGGAGUGUAGGUGGCAUAACAAGUCAGAAGUGAAAGCCCGGGGCUCAACCGCGGGACUGCUUUUGAAACUGUUAAGCUUGAGUGCAGGGGAGGUAAGCGGAAUUCCUAGUGUAGCGGUGAAAUGCGUAGAUAUUAGGAGGAACACCAGUGGCGAAGGCGGUCUGCUGGACAGCAACUGACGCUGAGGCGCGAAAGCGUGGGGAGCAAACAGGAUUAGAUACCCUCGUA
RNAcentral lists this ribosomal RNA (445 nucleotides) under uncultured bacterium. Its description in RNAcentral is "bacterial SSU rRNA". It matches the Rfam family "Bacterial small subunit ribosomal RNA", at positions 330 to 792 of the family's 1533-position model. The record is from RNAcentral.